RNAcentral lists this ribosomal RNA (736 nucleotides) under uncultured bacterium. Its description in RNAcentral is "bacterial SSU rRNA". It matches the Rfam family "Bacterial small subunit ribosomal RNA", at positions 67 to 797 of the family's 1533-position model. The record is from RNAcentral.
GGCAGCGCGAGGUAGCAAUACUUUGGCGGCGACCGGCGGAAGGGUGCGUAACGCGUGAGCAACAUGCCCGUAUGAGGGGGAUAAGCGAUGGAAACGUCGUCUAAUACCCCGUAACACAGGAGAUCGCAUGAUCACCUGUUGAAAGAUUUAUCGCAUACGGAUUGGCUCGCGUGACAUUAGCUAGUCGGCGGGGUAACGGCCCACCGAGGCGACGAUGUCUAGGGGUUCUGAGAGGAAGGUCCCCCACACUGGAACUGAGACACGGUCCAGACUCCUACGGGAGGCAGCAGUGAGGAAUAUUGGCCAAUGGGCGGAAGCCUGAACCAGCCAUGCCGCGUGAAGGAAUAAGGCCCUAUGGGUCGUAAACUUCUUCUGACGGGGAGCAAUAAGGGCGUCGUGCACGUCCGAUGAGAGUACUCGUCGAAUAAGCAUCGGCUAACUCCGUGCCAGCAGCCGCGGUAAUACGGAGGAUGCAAGCGUUAUCCGGAUUUAUUGGGUUUAAAGGGUGCGUAGGCGGACGUGUAAGUCAGGGGUGAAAUACCGGGGCUCAACCUCGGAACUGCCUUUGAUACUGCAUGUCUGGAGUUCGGAUGCCGUGGGAGGAAUGGGCAGUGUAGCGGUGAAAUGCAUAGAUAUUGCCCAGAACACCGAUUGCGAAGGCAUCUCACGAAUCCGACACUGACGCUGAGGCACGAAAGCGUGGGGAUCAAACAGGAUUAGAUACCCUGGUAGUCCA